UGCGGGACAACUUGAGGUCCUUCUUCUACCUCUUGAAUGAAGCCCAGCCAUCCACUAUGUUGCCAGCUCAAGAGCAACACCUACCAGUCCCUAUUCUGCUCGUAAUGCCCUGGCCAUCGUGCUCUCCUCCUAUGGAAACCCCAGCUUUACCCUCCCCUUCCGGACAAUCUACCUCCAGGGAGCAACUAACUGCUCUCCUCCCCUCUGGCUAUCCCUUCCACAGUUCUCCUGUUAAAUUAAUAAAAUCCACCACUUUCUCUGUCGUGUCUGCUUCAGAGUCCUAACCCGUGCCU
Molecule: long non-coding RNA, 293 nt
Organism: Oreochromis niloticus (Nile tilapia)
Lineage: Eukaryota; Metazoa; Chordata; Actinopteri; Cichliformes; Cichlidae
Exons: 3
Source: RefSeq, a predicted model, not a curated record